Molecule: ribosomal RNA, 453 nt
Filed under: uncultured bacterium
Lineage: Bacteria
Description: bacterial SSU rRNA
Rfam family: Bacterial small subunit ribosomal RNA
Source: RNAcentral
UACGGAAGGCAGCAGUGGGGAAUAUUGCACAAUGGGCGCAAGCCUGAUGCAGCCAUGCCGCGUGUAUGAAGAAGGCCUUCGGGUUGUAAAGUACUUUCAGUCGUGAGGAAGGUGUUAAGGUUAAUAACCUUAGCAAUUGACGUUAGCGACAGAAGAAGCACCGGCUAACUCCGUGCCAGCAGCCGCGGUAAUACGGAGGGUGCGAGCGUUAAUCGGAAUUACUGGGCGUAAAGGGCACGCAGGCGGUUAAUUAAGUUGGAUGUGAAAUCCCCGGGCUUAACCUGGGAAUGGCAUUCAAGACUGGUUAGCUAGAGUCUUGUAGAGGGGGUAGAAUUCCAUGUGUAGCGGUGAAAUGCGUAGAGAUGUGGAGGAAUACCGGUGGCGAAGGUGGCCCCUGGACAAAGACUGACGCUCAUGUGCGAAAGCGUGGGGAGCAAACAGGGAUUAGAUACC